ACGGGAGGCAGCAGUGGGGGAUAUUGCACAAUGGGGGAAACCCUGAUGCAGCGACGCCGCGUGAGUGAUGAAGUAUUUCGGUAUGUAAAGCUCUAUCAGCAGGGAAGAUAAUGACGGUACCUGACUAAGAAGCACCGGCUAAAUACGUGCCAGCAGCCGCGGUAAUACGUAUGGUGCAAGCGUUAUCCGGAUUUACUGGGUGUAAAGGGAGCGUAGACGGCAAGGCAAGCCAGAUGUGAAAGGCUGGGGCUCAGCCCCGGGACUGCAUUUGGAGCUGUCUAGCUAGAGUAUCGGAGAUGUAAGUGGAAUUCCUAGUGUAGCGGUGAAAUGCGUAGAUAUUAGGAGGAACACCAGUGGCGAAGGCGGCUUACUGGACGAUAACUGACGUUGAGGCUCGAAAGCGUGGGGAGCAAACAGGAUUAGAUACCCUGGUA
This 434-nucleotide ribosomal RNA is filed under the name uncultured bacterium. RNAcentral describes it as "partial 16S ribosomal RNA". It matches the Rfam family "Bacterial small subunit ribosomal RNA", at positions 341 to 792 of the family's 1533-position model. The record is from RNAcentral.